AGAGGAAAACAAACUUUACCUACGAGGAGCAAAGAUAAGAAUUACUUCUGAUGAAUCAGAAACUGUGUGAGCAAGAAGAUAGAGUAAAAUAGUUACAGUGAUAAGAGAAAGAAACCACCAGCCUAGAACUCUGCGCCCUGUGAAAUUAUCUUUCAAAAGUAAGGAAAGAUAAAGACUUUCUCAUAUGAAAAUUGAGCAACUUUUUUGCCAGUAGAACUGCCUUACAAAAAAAUGUAAAAAGAGGUUGUUUAGAGAGAAGGGAAAUAAUCUAGGUCAGAGACAUGGAUCUACAUGAAGAAAAAGAAGAGCAUGAGAGGAGAAAUAAGUAAAGCCAGUAAUAGAACCGGGGCCAAACAGGCUCAUAUUGGUGUGUGGAGGGUAUCAGAAGACACAGCAGCAAAUGUGGAGACUAGACACACUGCAAGAGAUGAUGGAUUUCAGUUCUAACCCAUCAGUGAACCCAGAAUCCAGUGAAUCUUUUGAGGUAAGAAACAUAAAUAUCGAAUUUGGCAUUUUCAUAGCAUUCCCCAGCUAGCUAUAAGCUAGCCAGUUUAGAAAACAAGGAAUUCAGACUCUAGACCCUGCUCAAUAGGUUCACCAAUUACAUGUGUCAGACUGAAGAGAAACAGCAUGAUAAUGGUGUGAGGCAUAUUCUGAGGGAAAAAGAAAUAGGGUUAGGAGGAGUGAGCCACUGUCCCAGAUUAAUAGAAGGUUAGAACUGUCCAAAGGAUUUGAGAUAUCAUUUAGCCAUGUUCUAGGCCUUUUAGGAAGUUUUCUGGAGCAGGCCCUACCCUUAUAUCUGGUUUACUGCUUUAUCCACAACAUCACUGUUGUAGUGGAAAUACUUGAAUGAUGUACUAGAGUAGAAACUCUGGUUAGAAAGGUGAGUUGGUAAGAUCAAGAUCAAACCACUGGUUUGCAGGAGAGUGGGGCCUAGACUGGUUUUGAUUCUUUGUUCUACCAAAUUUAGGAGGCAGCUUCCAGAAAAUGAACUCCUGCACAAAAGGAGUCCUCUUGUAUACUUUCUACCUUGCACAUUGCAUUUCCUCCUUCUAUAUGAAAUUAUUACUAACCAAACCUAUCAAUUUAAUGUCUAAAACAUGAGUCAAGAGAUCUGAGUUCUGUUCCCCAUUUCCCCAUUCACGUCCUUGGUGUCUGAGGCAAAUUAACCUGUCUGAACUCCAGUUUCUUCAAGCAUGAGAGAGGCUGAGGUUCCUUCUCAGCACUCAUAUCCUAUAAUUCUAAAUUUCAUGAAGGCUAAUGAAUUAAUAAACUCCCUGCUAUGGUUUGGGUACAGCUUUGGACCUGCAAAGUGUCAUGUUGAAAUCUGAGUCCCAGUGCUGGAGGCGGGGCCCGGUGGGAGGUGUUUGGGCCAUAUGGGCGUAUUCCUCACAAAUGGCUUUGUGCUAUUCUCCUGAGAGUGAGUUCUCACUCUUGAGGACAGGUUGUCGAAAAAAAACCUAGCAUCAUCUUCUCUCUUUCUCUAUCCCCAUAUCCCCUCUUGCAUGCUAGCCAUGUGAUCUCUGCACGAAG
RNAcentral lists this long non-coding RNA (1533 nucleotides) under Callithrix jacchus (white-tufted-ear marmoset). RNAcentral's name for it is "lncRNA (ENSCJAG00000085350.1)". The record is from RNAcentral. Lineage: Eukaryota; Metazoa; Chordata; Mammalia; Primates; Cebidae.